Molecule: ribosomal RNA, 592 nt
Filed under: uncultured bacterium
Lineage: Bacteria
Description: bacterial SSU rRNA
Rfam family: Bacterial small subunit ribosomal RNA
Source: RNAcentral
ACUCCUACGGGAGGCAGCAGUGGGGAAUAUUGGACAAUGGGCGAAAGCCUGAUCCAGCAAUACCGCGUGUGUGAAGAAGGCCUUCGGGUUGUAAAGCUCUUUCGCAAGGGAAGAGAACUUAGUUCUUAAUACGAGCUGAGGAUGACGGUACCUUGAUAAGAAGCACCGACUAACUACGUGCCAGCAGCCGCGGUAAUACGUAGGGUGCGAGCGUUAAUCGGAAUUACUGGGCGUAAAGCGUGCGCAGGCGGAUUGUUAAGCAAGAUGUGAAAUCCCCGGGCUUAACCUGGGAAUGGCAUUUUGAACUGGCAGUCUAGAGUGCGUCAGAGGGGGGUGGAAUUCCACGUGUAGCAGUGAAAUGCGUAGAGAUGUGGAGGAACACCGAUGGCGAAGGCAGCCCCCUGGGAUGACACUGACGCUCAUGUACGAAAGCGUGGGUAGCAAACAGGAUUAGAUACCCUGGUAGUCCACGCCCUAAACGAUGUCAACUGGUUGUUGGGGGAGUGAAAUCCCUUAGUAACGAAGCUAACGCGUGAAGUUGACCGCCUGGGGAGUACGGUCGCAAGAUUAAAACUCAAAGGAAUUGACGGGG